RNAcentral lists this non-coding RNA (174 nucleotides) under Paenibacillus yonginensis. RNAcentral's name for it is "FMN sequence". It matches the Rfam family "FMN riboswitch aptamer (RFN element)". Rfam says of the family: The RFN element is a highly conserved domain that is found frequently in the 5'-untranslated regions of prokaryotic mRNAs that encode for flavin mononucleotide (FMN) biosynthesis and transport proteins. This element is a metabolite-dependent riboswitch that directly binds FMN in the absence of proteins. The record is from Rfam by way of RNAcentral. Lineage: Bacteria; Bacillati; Bacillota; Bacilli; Caryophanales; Paenibacillaceae.
CGUAUCCUUCGGGGCAGGGUGAAAAUCCCGACCGACGGUGAUGGCCGGCCUGACUCAAUCAGCGCUGUGCCUUAGUCCGUGACCCGCAGCUCAUCCGUUUUUCGUGAACGGGACUGCGGCUGACCCGGUGCAAUUCCGGGACCGACAGUAUAGUCUGGAUGGGAGAAGGAGAUA